RNAcentral lists this ribosomal RNA (314 nucleotides) under uncultured Paenibacillus sp. RNAcentral's name for it is "bacterial SSU rRNA". It matches the Rfam family "Bacterial small subunit ribosomal RNA", at positions 1070 to 1382 of the family's 1533-position model. Lineage: Bacteria; Bacillati; Bacillota; Bacilli; Caryophanales; Paenibacillaceae. The record is from RNAcentral.
AGAUGUCGGGUUAAGUCCCGCAACGAGCGCAACCCUCGACCUUAGUUGCCAGCAUUCAGUUGGGCACUCUAAGGUGACUGACCGGCUAAAAAGUCGGAGGAAGGUGGGAUGACGUCAAAUCAUCAUGCCCCUUAUGACCUGGGCUACACACGUGCUACAAUGGGCGGUACAAAGGGUCGCGAACCCGCGAGGGGGAGCCAAUCCCAAAAAAGCCGCUCUCAGUUCGGAUUGCAGGCUGCAACUCGCCUGCAUGAAGCCGGAAUCGCUAGUAAUCGCGGAUCAGCAUGCCGCGGUCGAAUACGUUCCCGGGCCUU